CCCGCGUCUGAUUAGCCAGUUGGCAGGGUAACGGCCUACCAAAGCGACGAUCAGUAGCCGGCCUGAGAGGGCGGACGGCCACAUUGGGACUGAGACACGGCCCAGACUCCUACGGGAGGCAGCAG
This 125-nucleotide ribosomal RNA is filed under the name uncultured bacterium. Its description in RNAcentral is "partial 16S ribosomal RNA". It matches the Rfam family "Bacterial small subunit ribosomal RNA", at positions 230 to 354 of the family's 1533-position model. The record is from RNAcentral.